RNAcentral lists this ribosomal RNA (253 nucleotides) under uncultured bacterium. RNAcentral describes it as "partial 16S ribosomal RNA". It matches the Rfam family "Bacterial small subunit ribosomal RNA", at positions 524 to 776 of the family's 1533-position model. The record is from RNAcentral.
UACGAAGGGGGCUAGCGUUGCUCGGAAUUACUGGGCGUAAAGGGCGCGUAGGCGGCACUGUUAGUCAGGCGUGAAAGUCCUGGGCUCAACCUGGGAACUGCGCUUGAUACGGCAGAGCUAGAGGAUGGAAGAGGCUCGCGGAAUUCCCAGUGUAGAGGUGAAAUUCGUAGAUAUUGGGAAGAACACCGGUGGCGAAGGCGGCGAGCUGGUCCAUUACUGACGCUGAGGCACGACAGCGUGGGGAGCAAACAGG